GUAAAGUUAGUUUAAUAUUAAAAUAGUAGGUUGUGGGCUUGCAGAUAAAGAUUUUAUUUACUUUACU
This 67-nucleotide transfer RNA is filed under the name Dosidicus gigas (jumbo flying squid). Its description in RNAcentral is "tRNA-His". The record is from RNAcentral. Lineage: Eukaryota; Metazoa; Mollusca; Cephalopoda; Oegopsida; Ommastrephidae.